UCCUCUUGCCCACUCUUUGGGAGCCCAGAGAGUCUCCACCGAAACUUUCCGCUCCUCCCCUCUCAUCCCUGCGUCUGGCCGGGACUCUGCAGGCUGAGGGGAGAGAUUUUAGCAAUAGAAGUUGGGCUGAAAACAAAUUUAGAGUCCCUUUAUAUUAAUAAUAAGAAGAAGGAAGCAUGGAUUAUUGGAUAAGAGCUUGGGACUGGGAGUCACAAGGACCUGGGUUUUAAUCCUGGCUCUGUGACUUCGCUUCUCUGUGCCUCAGUUCCCUCAUCUGUAAACUGGAGAUUAAGACUGCGAGCCCCCAUAUGGGACGUGAACUGUGUCCAAUAUGAUUACAUUGUAUCUGCCCCAGCACUUAAUACAGUGCCUGGCACAUAAUAAGUGCUUAAGAAAUACCAUUAAAAUUAAAAAAUUGGACCCUGAGUGUGUGCGUGUAUGUGUGUGUGUGUCUUAUAUCAGCUUGUGUAUCUGUGGGUGUCUCUGAGUGUACGUGCAGCCAUCGUGGAUGCCUGAUUCUGGGCGCGGGGCCCCUUGCACCCCUCGUAUCUCGAUGGGUCAAGUCCUUCCCUUUGCCCCAGGCCCUGCAAGUCGGCUGAUAACCGAGCUCUCCCGGGCCCCGCCCCCGACAGCAUCAUCCCGACACAUCUGCGAAGAGAAUGCCCACCCGGACGCGGCCCCGUCCCCCAAGUGUGGAUUCGGGUUGUUGUGUGGUAGUCAUAUCUGUCUAUCCUGCGAAGCAGCAGAGUCUCGUGGGAAGAGCCCGGGCCUAGGAGUCAGAGGACCUGGCUUCCAAACCCUGCUCCGCCACUUGUCAGCUGUGUGACUUUGGGCAAGUCACUUCACUUCUCUGUGCCUCGGUUACCUCAUCUGUAAAAUGGGGAUGAAGACCGUGAGCCCCACGUGGGACGACCUGAUCACCUUGUAUCCCCCCAGCGCUUAGAACAGUGCUUUGCACAUAGUAAGCGCUUAACCGAUACCAUCAUUAUUAUUAAUUGCUUGCCGUGACCUUGGGCAAGACACUCAACUUCUCUGUGCCUCAGUUUCUGCAACUGUAAAAUGGAGAUGGAAUAUUGAGUACCUGUUCCCCCUCCUACUUAGAUUGUGAGCCCCGUGUGGGGCAGGGACUGUGUCCAACCUGCUCAAUUUGUAUCUACCGCACUGCUUAAACAGGGCUUGACAUAAGGUAAGCGCUGAACAAAUAAUAAUAAUAAUUUAAAA
RNAcentral lists this long non-coding RNA (1221 nucleotides) under Ornithorhynchus anatinus (platypus). Its description in RNAcentral is "lncRNA (ENSOANG00000039539.1)". Lineage: Eukaryota; Metazoa; Chordata; Mammalia; Monotremata; Ornithorhynchidae. The record is from RNAcentral.